RNAcentral lists this ribosomal RNA (280 nucleotides) under uncultured bacterium. RNAcentral's name for it is "partial 16S ribosomal RNA". It matches the Rfam family "Bacterial small subunit ribosomal RNA", at positions 78 to 353 of the family's 1533-position model. The record is from RNAcentral.
GCAAACUAGGAGAUGGCGACCGGCGCACGGGUGAGUAACACGUAUCCAACCUGCCGAUAACUCGGGGAUAGCCUUUCGAAAGAAAGAUUAAUACCCGAUGGCAUAAUAGAACCGCAUGGUUUGAUUAUUAAAGAAAUUUCGGUUAUCGAUGGGGAGUGCGUUCCAUUAGGCAGUUGGUGGGGUAACGGCCCACCAAACCUUCGAUGGAUAGGGGUUCUGAGAGGAAGGUCCCCCACAUUGGAACUGAGACACGGUCCAAACUCCUACGGGAGGCAGCAUG